GAUGAACGCUAGCUACAGGCUUAACACAUGCAAGUCGAGGGGAAACGACAUCGAGAGCUUGCUUUUGAUGGGCGUCGACCGGCGCACGGGUGAGUAACGCGUAUCCAACCUGCCCACCACUUGGGGAUAACCUUGCGAAAGUAAGACUAAUACCCAAUGACGUCUCUAGAAGACAUCUGAAAGAGACUACAGAUUUAUCGGUGAUGGAUGGGGAUGCGUAUGAUUAUCUUGUUGGCGGGGUAACGGACCACCAAGGCGACGAUCAGUAGGGGUUCUGAGAGGAAGGUCCCCCACAUUGGAACUGAGACACUGUCCAAACUCCAACGGGAGGCAGCAGUGAGGAAUAUUGGUCAAUGGGCGAGAGCCUGAACCAGCCAAGUAGCGUGCAGGAUGACGGCCCUAUGGGUUGUAAACUGCUUUUAUAAGGGAAUAAAGUGAGUAUCGUGAGACUUUUUGCAUGUACCUUAUGAAUAAGGACCGGCUAAUUCCGUGCCAGCCGCCGCCGUAA
Molecule: ribosomal RNA, 508 nt
Filed under: uncultured bacterium
Lineage: Bacteria
Description: partial 16S ribosomal RNA
Rfam family: Bacterial small subunit ribosomal RNA
Source: RNAcentral